GAGUUGAGUUGAGUUGAGUUGAACCGAAUAGUGUUCAACCUUAUAACUAAAUCACAAAAAGCAAACAACAUUAAAUGUAACUAUCAUAUAGUCUAACUAUCAUAUUCCAAAUGGAAUAUUUCCUAAAUCCUAUGUGUGAAAUUCACUAAUUGAAACAGACAAGACUCUACCUUUCUUUCUAUGGGCAGAGGUUCUUCUGUAAACAGAAUUCGUUAAGAGUAACCAAUGCAUGGUUUAUGAGAGAAUAUCUACGCGGACAAACUCGAUGUAUGUGAUAAAGCUAUAGGUCAUUUUUUGAAGUUAUCAGUGAACAUUAAUUUCCAGAGAAGCUCAUAAAAAUUAGCAGAAAAAUAAGUGCAGAGCAUAUGAUACAAAUUGGAAGUAAAAUCCUAAGCAUCUUGGUCUAGUAUUCAUGUAUUUUUAUACCUUCAAGAGUGAAUAAAAUUUUUAGAAAGAAGCAUUGUACAUAUAAGUUACAUGUGAUUAACGAACUAACCAGUGGAUGCUUGGUGGUAUAAUU
RNAcentral lists this unclassified non-coding RNA (520 nucleotides) under Hevea brasiliensis (rubber tree). Lineage: Eukaryota; Viridiplantae; Streptophyta; Magnoliopsida; Malpighiales; Euphorbiaceae. The record is from RNAcentral.